Molecule: RNase P RNA, 319 nt
Filed under: bovine gut metagenome
Description: Bacterial RNase P class A
Rfam family: Bacterial RNase P class A
About the family: Ribonuclease P (RNase P) is a ubiquitous endoribonuclease, found in archaea, bacteria and eukarya as well as chloroplasts and mitochondria. Its best characterised activity is the generation of mature 5'-ends of tRNAs by cleaving the 5'-leader elements of precursor-tRNAs.
Source: RNAcentral
GGUAACUGAGCGGCCGCGCGCCUUGGCGUGAGGAAAGUCCGAGCUCCACAGGGCAGGGUGCCGGGUAAUGCCCGGCGGAGGCGACUCCAGGGAAAGUGCAACAGAGAGAUACCGCAUGCAUGGCAUGUAAGGGUGGAAAGGUGAGGUAAGAGCUCACCCGCAGUCUGGUAACAGGCUGUCGAUGUAAACCCCAUCCGGAGCAAGAAACGAAAGAGCGAUUGAGGCGGCCCGCCGAUGCUCUCAGGAUUUCGCUAGAGCCUGUUGGCGACAACAGGACCAGAUAGAUGGUCGCUAUUUACAGAACUCGGCUUACAGGUUA